This 96-nucleotide signal recognition particle RNA is filed under the name Myxococcales bacterium. RNAcentral's name for it is "signal recognition particle sRNA small type". It matches the Rfam family "Bacterial small signal recognition particle RNA". Rfam says of the family: The signal recognition particle (SRP) is a universally conserved ribonucleoprotein involved in the co-translational targeting of proteins to membranes. Archaeal SRP consists of a 7S RNA and homologues of the eukaryotic SRP19 and SRP54 proteins. In most bacteria, the SRP consists of a 4.5S RNA and the Ffh protein (a homologue of the eukaryotic SRP54 protein). The record is from RNAcentral. Lineage: Bacteria; Pseudomonadati; Myxococcota; Myxococcia; Myxococcales.
GGUCGGGUCCAGUAGACGCCGUCCUGUGAAUCCCGCCAGGUCCGAGAGGAAGCAACGGUAGCAGUUCUUCGGAGUGCUAUUGGGUGCCCGGCCCUC